UGGCCCUUACGACCAGGGCUACACACGUGCUACAAUGGCGCAUACAAAGAGAAGCGACCUCGCGAGAGCAAGCGGACCUCAUAAAGUGCGUCGUAGUCCGGAUUGGAGUCUGCAACUCGACUCCAUGAAGUCGGAAUCGCUAGUAAUCGUGGAUCAGAAUGCCACGGUGAAUACGUUCCCGGGCCUUGUACACACCGCCCGUCACACCAUGGGAGUGGGUUGCAAAAGAAGUAGGUAGCUUAACCUUCGGGAGGGCGCUUACCACUUUGUGAUUCAUGACUGGGGUGAAGUCGUAACAAGGUAACCGUAGGGGAACCUGCGGUUGGAUCACCUCCUU
Molecule: ribosomal RNA, 337 nt
Filed under: Escherichia coli
Lineage: Bacteria; Pseudomonadati; Pseudomonadota; Gammaproteobacteria; Enterobacterales; Enterobacteriaceae
Description: bacterial SSU rRNA
Rfam family: Bacterial small subunit ribosomal RNA
Source: RNAcentral